ACUCGAGUGGCGAACGGGUGAGUAACACGUGGGUGAUCUGCCCUGCACUUCGGGAUAAGCCUGGGAAACUGGGUCUAAUACCGGAUAGGAGCCAUUUUUAGUGUGAUGGUUGGAAAGUUUUUCGGUGUAGGAUGAGCUCGCGGCCUAUCAGCUUGUUGGUGGGGUAAUGGCCUACCAAGGCGGUGACGGGUAGCCGGCCUGAGAGGGUGGACGGCCACAUUGGGACUGAGAUACGGCCCAG
Molecule: ribosomal RNA, 241 nt
Filed under: uncultured Actinomycetales bacterium
Lineage: Bacteria; Bacillati; Actinomycetota; Actinomycetes; Actinomycetales
Description: partial 16S ribosomal RNA
Rfam family: Bacterial small subunit ribosomal RNA
Source: RNAcentral